Molecule: ribosomal RNA, 484 nt
Filed under: uncultured bacterium
Lineage: Bacteria
Description: partial 16S ribosomal RNA
Rfam family: Bacterial small subunit ribosomal RNA
Source: RNAcentral
AUUGAACGCUGGCGGCAGGCCUAGCACAUGCAAGUCGAGCGGAUGAAGGGAGCUUGCUCCUGGAUUCAGCGGCGGACGGGUGAGUAAUGCCUAGGAAUCUGCCUGGUAGUGGGGGAUAGCGUCCGGAAACGGGCGCUAAUACCGCAUACGUCCUGAGGGAGAAAGUGGGGGAUCUUCGGACCUCACGCUAUCAGAUGAGCCUAGGUCGGAUUAGCUAGUUGGUGGGGUAAAGGCCUACCAAGGCGACGAUCCGUAACUGGUCUGAGAGGAUGAUCAGUCACACUGGAACUGAGACACGGUCCAGACUCCUACGGGAGGCAGCAGUGGGGAAUAUUGGACAAUGGGCGAAAGCCUGAUCCAGCCAUGCCGCGUGUGUGAAGAAGGUCUUCGGAUUGUAAAGCACUUUAAGUUGGGAGGAAGGGCAGUAAGUUAAUACCUUGCUGUUUUGACGUUACCAACAGAAUAAGCACCGGCUAACUUCGUG